This is a long non-coding RNA of Clupea harengus (Atlantic herring), 837 nucleotides long. RefSeq lists it as uncharacterized. The record is from RefSeq and is a predicted model, not a curated record. The transcript has 4 exons. Lineage: Eukaryota; Metazoa; Chordata; Actinopteri; Clupeiformes; Clupeidae.
CCUGUUGGAAUAAAAGUGUGUUUAGUUCAGAGCAGCAGCACUGGUGUGUGAGCCUCUCCUCUGUCUGUGUGUGUGUGUGGGGUUGAUUUCAUCAGCCUGUUGGAAUAAAAGUGUGUUUCGUUCAGAGCAGCAGCACUGGUGUGUGAGCCUCUCCUCUGCAGGCUCAGUAGAAUGGCCCUCAUCAGGAUCCUGAUUGCUGGGGGGCUGCUGAGCUGCCUCUACUCUCUCUGCUCCUCCACAGGAACACCAGAGCCGUCUUUCUUGGUGACCUUUCCUGCCCUGAUGAGGUCAGAGUCAGAAGCCCAGCUCUGUGCCAGCCUCCUGAGUCCAAAUGAGACUCUGCUCAUGUCCAUAUAUCUGAUUAAGGAGACGAGAAGCACCCUCUUUACCAGGAAACAUCAUACAAUGACUUUCGCCGCGUUUUCCAGUUCAAUGGAGACGAGAAGAAGACUCUUCACCAGGAAACAUCAGACAAGGACUUUCACCGCUGUUUCCAGUUCCAGCUACAAGCCCCAUAUUCGCAACAUGUUGGGCCACGCCCCCAUCAACAGCGCAAGACACAAACCAACGUGCCUGCAUUCUGACAGCGCUUCAAUGGAGACUAGCAGCUAACCACUGGAUACCACUGUAACUAACAGACAUUUCCAAGUCCAGGGGUGAAGCUCCAGCGCAACCUCAACUAAAUUUCCCCAAGACACUCCAGGAAGACUGAAACAGGAGCUUCAAGGGUGAGUGGUAUGCAGUCCACCCCUGGUUAGAAUACUCCAUAAGUGAAGACUCUACCUCUAACAAACAAAAAUGACAAUUAUGUAAAAUGAUUUACAUGGAUCUACACUC